Molecule: non-coding RNA, 73 nt
Organism: Stegodyphus mimosarum
Lineage: Eukaryota; Metazoa; Arthropoda; Arachnida; Araneae; Eresidae
Source: Rfam
GCCUUCGUGGUGUAGUGGUCCGCACGCUUGACGCGUAAGCAAGAGGUCCGUGGUUCGAUUCCCGGCGAAGAGG